CUCAUUUUUCUCGUCUGACUGUUAGUUUCUUCGCUACUCAAUGUUCUCCAGAAAAUAUCCUGUAUUUUAAACAUAAGCCCGAUGCCGGACGUCGUCACGAAGAGAUAUUAAAAUCUGUUUCUAAGGAUUCCUUCGACUCACUGCAUCGGGACAGAGGACGACUUCAAAGGAACAUACACAGCAAAGUGGAUCAUGUCGACUUUCUCGGUUCUGCAAAGCAAUGAGGUUUUCCGGCAUUUCGCCUGGUGGUCCCCCCCGGCUAUGUCGGUGAAAAUGAUGUGUCGCGAUACCGCUCAUCGCGCGUCAGCGAUUUAGUAAGCUGGUCCGUUUGACAACAUCAUUAUUUUGCGCGCAUAUAGUUUUACGUUAACAGAAAAAAAAAAAAAAUAAAUAAAAAAUAACAAUAAUUUUCAA
Long non-coding RNA from Nasonia vitripennis (jewel wasp), 414 nucleotides. RefSeq lists it as uncharacterized. The record is from RefSeq and is a predicted model, not a curated record. Lineage: Eukaryota; Metazoa; Arthropoda; Insecta; Hymenoptera; Pteromalidae. The transcript is spliced from 2 exons.